This 349-nucleotide unclassified non-coding RNA is filed under the name soil metagenome. RNAcentral describes it as "partial contains 5.8S ribosomal RNA, internal transcribed spacer 2, and large subunit ribosomal RNA". The stretch from base 1 to 120 matches the Rfam family "5.8S ribosomal RNA", at positions 35 to 154 of the family's 154-position model. The record is from RNAcentral.
GAUGAAGAACGUAGCGAAAUGCGAUAAGUAAUGUGAAUUGCAGAAUUCAGUGAAUCAUCGAAUCUUUGAACGCACAUUGCGCCCGCCAGUAUUCUGGCGGGCAUGCCUGUCUGAGCGUCAUUUCAACCCUCAUGCCCCUAGGGCGUGGUGUUGGGGAUCGGCCAAAGCCCGCGAGGGACGGCCGGCCCCUAAAUCUAGUGGCGGACCCGUCGUGGCCUCCUCUGCGAAGUAGUGAUAUUCCGCAUCGGAGAGCGAUGAGCCCCUGCCGUUAAACCCCCAACUUUCCAAGGUUGACCUCAGAUCAGGUAGGAAUACCCGCUGAACUUAAGCAUAUCAAUAAGCGGAGGAA